Molecule: ribosomal RNA, 548 nt
Filed under: Bifidobacterium animalis subsp. lactis
Lineage: Bacteria; Bacillati; Actinomycetota; Actinomycetes; Bifidobacteriales; Bifidobacteriaceae
Description: bacterial SSU rRNA
Rfam family: Bacterial small subunit ribosomal RNA
Source: RNAcentral
UGGUAAUACCGGAUGCUCCGCUCCAUCGCAUGGUGGGGUGGGAAAUGCUUUUGCGGCAUGGGAUGGGGUCGCGUCCUAUCAGCUUGUUGGCGGGGUGAUGGCCCACCAAGGCGUUGACGGGUAGCCGGCCUGAGAGGGUGACCGGCCACAUUGGGACUGAGAUACGGCCCAGACUCCUACGGGAGGCAGCAGUGGGGAAUAUUGCACAAUGGGCGCAAGCCUGAUGCAGCGACGCCGCGUGCGGGAUGGAGGCCUUCGGGUUGUAAACCGCUUUUGUUCAAGGGCAAGGCACGGUUUCGGCCGUGUUGAGUGGAUUGUUCGAAUAAGCACCGGCUAACUACGUGCCAGCAGCCGCGGUAAUACGUAGGGUGCGAGCGUUAUCCGGAUUUAUUGGGCGUAAAGGGCUCGUAGGCGGUUCGUCGCGUCCGGUGUGAAAGUCCAUCGCCUAACGGUGGAUCUGCGCCGGGUACGGGCGGGCUGGAGUGCGGUAGGGGAGACUGGAAUUCCCGGUGUAACGGUGGAAUGUGUAGAUAUCGAAAAAAAACACC